Molecule: ribosomal RNA, 407 nt
Filed under: uncultured prokaryote
Also listed under: 1 other name
Description: bacterial SSU rRNA
Rfam family: Bacterial small subunit ribosomal RNA
Source: RNAcentral
UGGGGAAUAUUGGGCAAUGGGCGCAAGCCUGACCCAGCAACGCCGCGUGAAGGAAGAAGGCUUUCGGGUUGUAAACUUCUUUUACCAGGGACGAAGAAAGUGACGGUACCUGGAGAAUAAGCCACGGCUAACUACGUGCCAGCAGCCGCGGUAAUACGUAGGUGGCAAGCGUUGUCCGGAUUUACUGGGUGUAAAGGGCGCGUAGGCGGGAAAGCAAGUCAGGAGUGAAAUCUAUGGGCUCAACCCAUAAAUUGCUUUUGAAACUGUUUUUCUUGAGUGAUGGAGAGGCAAGCGGAAUUCCUAGUGUAGCGGUGAAAUGCGUAGAUAUUAGGAGGAACACCAGUGGCGAAGGCGGCUUGCUGGACAUUAACUGACGCUGAUGCGCGAAAGCGUGGGGAGCAAACAGG